Molecule: ribosomal RNA, 207 nt
Filed under: uncultured bacterium
Lineage: Bacteria
Description: partial 16S ribosomal RNA
Rfam family: Bacterial small subunit ribosomal RNA
Source: RNAcentral
UACGUAGGUGGCAAGCGUUGUCCGGAAUUAUUGGGCGUAAAGCGCGCGCAGGCGGCCUCUUGAGUCUGAUGUGAAAGCCCCCGGCUCAACCGGGGAGGCCAUUGGAAACUGGGAGGCUUGAGUAUAGGAGAGAAGAGUGGAAUUCCACGUGUAGCGGUGAAAUGCGUGAGAGAUGUGGAGGAACACCAGUGGCGAAGGCGAACUCUU